GUGGUCGCUCUCGCUUGGAGACCAGCGGAGGGAUCAUUACCGAGUUUACAACUCCCAAACCCCUGUGAACAUACCACUUGUUGCCUCGGCGGAUCAGCCCGCUCCCGGUAAAACGGGACGGCCCGCCAGAGGACCCCUAAACUCUGUUUCUAUAUGUAACUUCUGAGUAAAACCAUAAAUAAAUCAAAACUUUCAACAACGGAUCUCUUGGUUCUGGCAUCGAUGAAGAACGCAGCAAAAUGCGAUAAGUAAUGUGAAUUGCAGAAUUCAGUGAAUCAUCGAAUCUUUGAACGCACAUUGCGCCCGCCAGUAUUCUGGCGGGCAUGCCUGUUCGAGCGUCAUUUCAACCCUCAAGCACAGCUUGGUGUUGGGACUCGCGUUAAUUCGCGUUCCUCAAAUUGAUUGGCGGUCACGUCGAGCUUCCAUAGCGUAGUAGUAAAACCCUCGUUACUGGUAAUCGUCGCGGCCACGCCGUUAAACCCCAACUUCUGAAUGUUGACCUCGGAUCAGGUAAGAAUACCC
Molecule: ribosomal RNA, 522 nt
Filed under: Fusarium oxysporum
Lineage: Eukaryota; Fungi; Ascomycota; Sordariomycetes; Hypocreales; Nectriaceae
Description: eukaryotic LSU rRNA
Rfam family: 5.8S ribosomal RNA (bases 188-341)
Source: RNAcentral